GAAGCCGGAGCUAAUACCGGAUAAUAUAUUGAACCGCAUGGUUAAAUAGUGAAAGACGGUUUUGCUGUCACUUAUAGAUGGAUCCGCGCCGCAUUAGCUAGUUGGUAAGGUAACGGGCUUACCAAGGCAACGAUGCGUAGCCGACCUGAGAGGGUGAUCGGCCACACUGGAACUGAGACACGGUCCAG
This 188-nucleotide ribosomal RNA is filed under the name uncultured Staphylococcus sp. RNAcentral describes it as "partial 16S ribosomal RNA". It matches the Rfam family "Bacterial small subunit ribosomal RNA", at positions 153 to 334 of the family's 1533-position model. The record is from RNAcentral. Lineage: Bacteria; Bacillati; Bacillota; Bacilli; Caryophanales; Staphylococcaceae.